UAGCGGAGGAAAAGAAACUAACAAGGAUUCCCCUAGUAACUGCGAGUGAAGCGGGAAAAGCUCAAAUUUAAAAUCUGGCAGCCUUCGGUUGUCCGAGUUGUAGUCUGGAGAAGUGUCUUCCGCGCUGGACCGUGUACAAGUCUCUUGGAAUAGAGCGUCGUAGAGGGUGAGAAUCCCGUCUUUGACACGGACUACCAGUGCUUUGUGAUGCGCUCUCAAAGAGUCGAGUUGUUUGGGAAUGCAGCUCAAAAUGGGUGGUAAAUUCCAUCUAAAGCUAAAUAUUGGCGAGAGACCGAUAGCGAACAAGUACCGUGAGGGAAAGAUGAAAAGCACUUUGGAAAGAGAGUUAAACAGUACGUGAAAUUGCUGAAAGGGAAACGCUUGAAGUCAGUCGCGUCGUCCAGAACUCAACCUUGCUUUUGCUCGGUGCACUUUCUGGUUGACGGGCCAGCAUCAGUUUUGACCGUCGGAAAAAGGCCUUUGGAAUGUGGCACCUUCGGGUGUGUUAUAGCCUUGGGUUGUAUACGACGGUUGGGACUGAGGACCGCAGCACGCCUUUUGGCCGGGGUUCGCCCACGUACGUGCUUAGGAUGCUGGCGUAAUGGCUUUAAGCGACCCGUCUUGAACCACGGACCA
This 636-nucleotide ribosomal RNA is filed under the name Phlebicolorata brevispora. RNAcentral's name for it is "eukaryotic LSU rRNA". It matches the Rfam family "Eukaryotic large subunit ribosomal RNA", at positions 48 to 668 of the family's 3401-position model. The record is from RNAcentral. Lineage: Eukaryota; Fungi; Basidiomycota; Agaricomycetes; Polyporales; Meruliaceae.